RNAcentral lists this ribosomal RNA (326 nucleotides) under uncultured bacterium. RNAcentral's name for it is "bacterial SSU rRNA". It matches the Rfam family "Bacterial small subunit ribosomal RNA", at positions 568 to 898 of the family's 1533-position model. The record is from RNAcentral.
UCCGUAGGCGGUUUAGUAAGUCAGUGGUGAAAGCCCAUCGCUCAACGGUGGAACGGCCAUUGAUACUGCUGAACUUGAAUUAUUAGGAAGUAACUAGAAUAUGUAGUGUAGCGGUGAAAUGCUUAGAGAUUACAUGGAAUACCAAUUGCGAAGGCAGGUUACUACUAAUGGAUUGACGCUGAUGGACGAAAGCAUGGGUAGCGAACAGGAUUAGAUACCCUGGUAGUCCACGCCGUAAACGAUGGAUACUAGCUGUUGGGGGCAACUUCAGUGGCUAAGCGAAAGUGAUAAGUAUCCCACCUGGGGAGUACGUUCGCAAGAAUGAA